This 394-nucleotide ribosomal RNA is filed under the name uncultured bacterium. Its description in RNAcentral is "partial 16S ribosomal RNA". It matches the Rfam family "Bacterial small subunit ribosomal RNA", at positions 523 to 918 of the family's 1533-position model. The record is from RNAcentral.
AUACAUAGGGGGCGAGCGUUAUCCGGAUUUAUUGGGCGUAAAGGGUGCGUAGGCGGUAAAUUAAGUCUAAGGUUAAAGUGCAGGGCUCAACCCUGUGAUGCCUUAGAAACUGGUUUACUUGAGUUUGGUAGAGGUAAGUGGAACUCCAUGUGUAGCGGUAAAAUGCGUAAAUAUAUGGAAGAACACCAGUGGCGAAGGCGGCUUACUGGGCCACAACUGACGCUGAGGCACGAAAGCGUGGGGAGCAAACAGGAUUAGAUACCCUGGUAGUCCACGCCGUAAACGAUGAGUACUAGCUGUCGGGGGUUACCCCCCUCGGUGGCGCAGCUAACACAAUAAGUAUUCCGCCUGGGGAGUACGGCCGCAAGGUUGAAACUCAAAUGAAUUGACGGGG